CUUCCAAAAGAGGGCAAGAAUGAUUCCUUUCUUUAGGAUUGGAAUUCAAAAGCUAUAAUCCUUUCUUAAGGAUUGGAAUUCAGAAGCUUUCUUUAGCUAAAUUUUGUUCAAAUUAACAGAAGCCUAUUUCGUUCAUUUGGUUGAAAAGAGUACAAGCAGUUUCGUCCAAAAAUUUCAAUGAAAUCCAAAGCCAAAAUUCGUUCAAAUUCCGAAGCAGAAGCUUCAUUCUCUCGUUCCAACACAUUUUGCGGAAGCAGAAGCUUCACUUCAAUAAAAUAAUUCCAGGAACAGGUAUGUUAAGGUCCUCUUUCUUUCCUUUUGCAUGGUCCACAUUAUAUUGAAGAAACGAGCAAAUACAUAGAUUUCAUAAAUUACUCUAUUCAUAGAAUUAUUAGAGGUGUCUAUAUUCUUGAUUCCCCAUGAAAAUUAUUAUUAUUUUUUGUUCAAGGGUCUCAGAAUAAUACGAAGUUUGUAAAGUUUAUCCGGAAUGAAUAUUGAGAUUAUUACAUAUUUUUCAUGUAUUUCACUCAUGUGCAUUGACCCAUGACUAGAUGGCGUUAUAUACGCAUAUAUAUGUAAAUAUAUGUAUAUGGGAUAUGGGAAAAGGUUACGACGUUAUAUACGCAUCACCACCUGAUCAGCUGGUAUAUGUUGAUGAUGUUGCUCAUAAUUGCCGAGAUGAUAUGAUGGAAUACCUUCAGUGGCUUGAUGAUAUUAUGUACACCCAUACCUAUGCAUGGAACGACAUUUAUACGCAUGUGUAUGACAUUAUAAACAUUACAGAAAUAUAAUGUUAUUCAGAUUUAAAGACAUGUUUCUAUAUUUCAUGUUUCAUCUAUGUCUUUUACGUACUAAUUUUCAUGCCUUACAUACUCAGUACAUUUUUCGUACUGACGCCCUAUUUCACGGGGCCUGCGUUCCAUGCCCGCAGGUGCAGGUAGGCAAGCUGACAGUCCCCCUUCUUAGGAUCCCUGAUUAGUGAGAGUUGGCGUGCUCUAUUUGAUCUAGAGCUGCUUUUGAUUUUGGUACGAUACGUUUGUAUAUAUAUGUUUAUGGGUAAGAUGUGGCUUAGUCUCGUCUUGUACAGUUACGUUUCUGUUAGAGGUUUGUGUACAAUAUGUCUAGUUGGAUAGUAUGUGGCUUUGCUGGCUUCCAAUUUUGAGAUGUAUAGUUGUCUAUAGCAGCCUUGUCGGCUCGCCCUAUGUAUGUUGUACAUAUAUGUAUGUAUGCCCUUUUUGGGCAGAUUUCCUUCAUGUACAUUAUUGUCGUAACUCAACAGACGUUAUACAGGUUCAUAACCUAGACACAUGCUUAGGGGUGUUUGACAGAUAGGACUCAGGCACCCGUCGCGACCCAUCGGUUUGGGUCGUGACAUUUGGUGUUGGAAAGUUAAGUUAUGGAAUGCACUCUGUCUUCCUAUAUAUAUGAUUUAAAAGGCCCAAGUAAAAUAAGUAGCCUACUAUGUGACGCCUUUUUCUCAGUUGAUUAACUUGUAUGCCACCUAGUGCAUUGUUGCUUAAAAAUUCACAACUUGCUAUGCUUUCUUGACUUGAGAGUCGCACAGAACCAUCUUGAGUGAGUGAUGUGCCAUGUGUGUAUAAGGAUUUUUGUUAGUCUGUGUUAUCCUGUGUAUCCAGAACUUGCCCCGUGUGUUAAUCAACGCGAAAUCAUUAAGUUAUGCUAGUCUAGGAGAUGACGUAGGAGUUUCUUGCUUGACCAUGAAGGUGAUUGUCAUUGACAAAUAAAACUUUCCCAUUGCUAGCCCCUUUGAGCAUAUAGACCGUUUCCUUGGCACCCACAUUACAAGCCACAUUCCUACUUUGUUUUUUAUUUAAGAUUGUUGAACCUUUACCUCCUAAGGCUCUUAGUUUCUAAAAGAAGUAAGGGGAGAGAUUAGGGAGUUACUUUUGAGUGGAAUCAUGGAAGGUCCCUUAAGGUGCACUAAAAUCGUGAAUAAAAUUCACCAGCUUAUGAACUUUAAUGCAUGGAGUGUGUGAAGAAAAAAAAAGAAAAAAAAUGUUGCAAGAAAAAGCAAAUAAAAUUUCAAAUAAUGUAAAAAGAUUCACACCUCCUAAUCUUUCUCAUUCGUGCUAGUGAAUUCAUAGAGGUGCUUAAUUGAAAAGAGGGCUAUGUUAUAUAUGGUGUAUGACAAGUGAAUGAGUUGAAAAGAAAAGGGUGUUUAUUUGUGAAUGUAGUAUAUUAAAGUGCUUAGGAGAGUUAGUCACUAUACCUAAAUGUAUCCUACCCGUCCCUUAGCCUACAUUACUACCUUAAAGUACCAAUUGAUCCUAGAUUUGGUUAGCUUAGAUUAGUAGAGAUACACACUAUGGGCAAGCUUAUGGUACAACUAUGGGAUGCACAUGAACUCUUGUGAGAGUGAGUGAAUUUUGUUCAAUUGUGUGAUGUCCUUAAUUUAUGUUCAAUGACAUAUUUGAAUGUGUGGACGACUUUGAUAUUCAUUCUUUUUCUUGUGGCGAGGGCACUUGAUCUCUUGACGGAUUGGUAAUGUUGUACACUUUCUUUUGUUGGGUGAGUGUGUGAGUGAGGAUGCUUAGUGGUGAAAAGUUGUCUAUUGAGGUAAGAUGGUUGUGGAGAGGUUGGUUGAGUUGGUUGGAUAGCAUUGUAUAUGCUUGGUCUAGUUUAAAAAAUGGGAAGAAUGUGAAAUUCGCGUGUUCAUGCUUAAUUGCAGAUGUCCAUCAUAGUCCAAAAGUAGUGAGUUUGAUUAAAUUAAUUGUGAAAUGCUCUUUCAUAGUGAUAAGUAUGUUUUGGGGGAUUAAUAUAGUUCCAUUGCUUGAGGACGAGCAAGAGUCUAAGUGUGGCGUAUUGAUAAUCGGCUUAAAGUAUGUAUAUUUUGAUAUAUAUCGCCUCGCAUUUUGCUUAUGUUUCGUUGAUUUGAGAUGUUUAAUAUGAUGAUUUGUGUGCAUUUGUUGUAUUUAUAUGUGUAGGAAUCAUUCAGAUACAAUUUGAGAUAAAAUGAUACGAAUUGGAGAGAAAUUGGGACAAAAAGAAAAAAAAUGAAAUUUGAGGGCCACAGCCAACGUGGGGCGCUGGCUGUGGCGAAGUGUAUAGAAAACUCAAUUUUUGAGCGCCAGGACCAGCACCACACGCUGCCCUGGACGCUCGAGGCAUGAUAUUUCCCUAUUCCGACUAGGACUCGGGUAUUUUGACCCCUAGACGCCCCCAACUAAUAUAAAAGCCAACCAACACCUAUUUUGAAGAAAGAAAACGUGACUUUGAGAGGAGAACAAAAGGGAAAAACACUCGGGAGCACGGAUUUGAUCAAUUCUUCCAUCCCUUUUCUAGUACUCAUUGAUUUUAUGUUUUAAAACCUUAUUUUUGAUGAUUGUAUGAACAUAAGUGGCUAAGAACCCUAUUGUUCUAGGGUCAUGGGUGAAUCAUGAAUGUUGAUGUUUGAAGUUUAAUUUGAAGAAGUUGAUUUUAUCAUAUUUGGUUGUUUAUUUAAUUCUGUUUUUGAUUAUUUUGCUUAGUAGCUAAUAGUGAGAUACUAUCUACGAAUUUAGAGUUGAACUCAAAAGUGGGAACUCUAGAAUGCAUAUAGAAUUAAAUAAAGCAAGUUCUUGAACCUGCGCAUCGGGGAACGGAUUUGCAAUUAGGAUAGACAUAUACCUAAUUGCCUUGCUUGGUUGAAAUACAUGAAUUGUUAAUGCAUUCUUGUUAAUCUUAAUUCCAUAGACACAUAGGCAUUAAGUUAACUUGAAUAGGCGAGUAAGGACACGACAGAUUCUUAUGAGUAAUAUCAACCCUGUUAAUCAACAAUCCAGACAAAUUAAUUAGUCAUUUUAAGCCAAGAAUACAACAAGAUUGUUAGUUAACCCUUUGUUGAUACUUAAUUUUUCCCUCAUAUGCUUUAAAUAUGCAUACAAACAUUCAUAUUGUACAUGCAUGAACAAGUAUUUUUUACAAUUUUUGCAUUUUUAAUUAAAUAAAUAUUCAAAAAUUAUCCCUGAUAUUACUCUAUGAUGAUUUAAUCAUUUAUCCUCAUAUAAGUGUUCAAAUAUUUUAAUUGAAUUUUUACAAUUGCAUUUGCAUUUGUUAGAUUACAAUUGCAUAUUUUGCAAUAAUAGCUCAUACAUAUGCAUAAUUACAUUAUCUAUACAGAAAAUAACUUUUUAUAUUUUUAUAAUGCUAAAUAAUUAUUUUAAAUCAUCUUCAUGAAUAAAAAAUAAUUUUUAUCAUUUAAUUAGCUAUUUUUACAAAUUAUUUUAUUAAUAAAUAUCCCUUUAAUUAUGUUAAAAUUCGGACUACCCCCCCCCCACCCCAAUUCAAAUUAAACCUGGCCCAAAUCAACCCAGCCCAAACCCUUAUCUACUCGACCCAUUUCUUGCUAAAUCCUGUCCAUUGAUCAUUUUGAUCAACGGUCCAGAUCUCCCUUACCUAUAUUAAACUAUCUUAUACCCCCCAAACCCUAAUCAUUUUAUCACCCUCCCCCGCCGUCAUCUGUUCCUCUCCUCUCUCAAAUGCUCUCAAAACCUAACCCUAACUCACCCAUAUAGCCACUCAUCUACUGUCGUUCAUGGUGGUUUCUCACUACCAUUAGAUAUAUAAUGGCCUCUCCUAUGCUGGUAUCGACAUCUCUAAGGUCCCUGAGGGACAAGGGUCAGUCCAUUUACACCUAUGGCCCUUUCUUGCAUGUUUAAGGCUGUUCCAGUUCAAUUUUGAGCAAGAUCUUUCUAUUUUUCCUUAAACCUAUGGAUUUCUAAGCUUACUUCUUUAUCUCCGUGUUGUCUUUCUCGAAACCCUAAUUUCAUCCUUUGAACUUCCCAGAUCUAUGCAAGAUCUGAGAUGCAUCGAACCUAUUUCACAUGAGUUUUACAAGAACCUUCUGAUUUUCAAAUGAUUUUCCAUUUUUCUAAACUAGGGUUUCCUGAAAAUUUCUUUCUCCAAAACGUUUUGUUAAUUUUGAGUUUUUAAUCUUCUAUUCUUAUGUGUUUUUAACCAAUUUCGUAAAGUUUGCUUUAACCCUAACUAGUUUAUGCUAAAACCCAAAUUUCUUUCGACAUUUUGUUUGGAUUCUGAGUUUGUUUGGGUUACUUGUGCACCGACUUAGUUCUAUGCUUUGGUUCUUGUGAUUUUUCUUUAGCUUAAUUUGAUGUCUUGUGAUUUUUAUCCUAAUGUGCCUCUACUAAAGUUCUUGGUUCUACUCCUCUACUGAUUCUAUGUGUCUAUAUUCAUUUUUGCCUAUUCAUGGUAAACCUAUAUUUUUCUCCUUAAAUCAGUGUUGUUUUGAAUUCUUGAUUUACCAAUUUGUUUUGUUAAAACCUAUAUGUUGAGCCUUGACUAUUCCUUUAUUUGAAGCCUUAUUUAGUUUCUUGCCUUAUUUGAAUUGUUUGCGAUACUUGCUGAUUCUUACUAAUUGUUUCCUUAAUUAAACCCCCUGUCAUUUACCCCAAUUACCCAUUAUAUGCUUAAGUUUCACUCGGUUCUUCUUUUCUUAAAUAUAUUCUCCCUUCACCAUUGGGUAAUUACCCUUAAUUAAAGUAAUAUUACGCUAAUUUGUAUAUAAUUGAUUCUGUGGCUUCCUUAAUUUGCUGAAUGAUUGAUUUCCUUUACCUUAUUCUCCAUGCUCUUAACUGCUAUAUAUACUCUCCUUUAAUCCUCACUUCUAGAGACGAACAUUAGUACAUCAAUACUCUCACACUCUCAAAAGCUCUCUAUUCUCUUCUGUUACUUGCAAUUCUCACUAACCUAGUCGGCUAUAAGCCAAGGCUGGCUAUUUUCACCAUCUCCGCUCUAUACUCUAUAUUCUCUCCUUAACUCGUAUGUCCUGAUUCAAUUCAAAUUCCAAAACUAUGUGUUUCUUUGUUGUUUCAGUUCAUUAGUUGUGACUUCCAAUCCUGUUUAUUAUUUUACUAUCAUGUUGUUCAAUGUGUAACUAGUAUGUCUAGAUCACACAACCUAACUACUGUCUCACUUAGCAUAUUGGAGUCUGUUCUGUUACAGGCUACAACUAGUUUAUUUACCCACAAAGAUCUAUUUACUGCUUAGCAUGCCGAAUCCUGCCUUGUGAUAAUUGCAUGAAUCCUGUUUGUUUACUAGCAUGUCCAAACUACAUUGUUUGUUUACUGUCUCACCCAGCAUGUCUAAAUUCUUCUUGUUCUAUAUGUGAUUAGUAUUUCUAAAAUUUGAAAGUUUCAUGAAGUGCUUACCUAGUUUGUUCAUCUGAGUCUUACCUGCUAUAUUUUACUAAUGAGAUCCUGUUAAUGCGUCUAGCCUUUCAAAGUACUCUAGUUGUGUAUAUUGGUCAUAUCCAAUAUCUAUGUGUUCUCAACAUGUCUUUUGCUGUAAUCUUUGUAACUAACUUGUCAAUUCUACAACUUCUUGAGAAAUUUGUGCAUCUGUUUUCUUAUACACUAGGGUGUAUUCUAUAUGUCCCCAACCCUCUCUCUCUCUCUCCAUGUGUGGAAUCUAUUUGCCCCAAAAUGUUUCUGAAGCUGUUUGUUUUUUGACUUGCAUUCUGAUUUCAAAAAAUGUUUUUCAUGUUUUUCUCAAACUGUUUUACCACCCUAACUAGUAUUGGUUUUAGAAAAUCUCUUCACUUCUAAGGCCCUUCUGUAUACUGUUUACCAAAACUCUUUCAAAUCCUGUCAAGCACUCUCAAUUAUUCUUAGGUUAUUAAGUUCUGCCCCUCUGUUUGAUUGCCUAUAUACAUGCGGAGGUAAAUAUGAGCCUUCUAACUGCUUGUCCUUAUUUGGUUGUCCCAUGUGUUAUAUGCAUGUCACCUAGAUUUUUACUUUUACAAACCUUAGGCUAUCUAGAGCUGCCCAAAUUUAGAGGUCCCAAAUUCCACCAGGACCAUAAUGUGACGACCCGACCGGUCGUCUUAAGAAUUAAUGCUCCAAUCCCCUAAUAACUGCUUACCCCGAGUUUAUUUCUACUAUUUUUAUUUGUUGGGAUGUUCGGUUUUAUGUUUCGGAGAGUUUUGGGACACUUAGUACCUAAAUGAGAGCUUAAGUGUUGGAAAGUUGACCGUAGUUGGAACAUUGUGAAGACGGCCUCCGAAUGGAAAUUUGAUGGUUCUGUAAGCUCCGUUAGGUGAUUUCAGGGUUAGUAGUGUGUUCGGAUUGUGUUUUGGAGGUCCAUAGCUAAUUUAGCCUUGAAAUGCCGAAAGUUGAAUUUUGUAAGUUUCCGGUUAGAUAGUGAGAUUUUAAUCCGAGGGUCAGAAUGUAAUUCCGAGAGUUGCAGUAGUUCCAUUAUGUUAUUUGGGAUGUGUGUGCAGAAUUUCAGGUCAUUCGGACGAGGUUUGGUAGACGUUUUGAUCGAAAGUGUGUUUUAGAGUUUUUGGAAUUUUUAAGCUUGAAUCCAAUGAAAAGUAGGUGUUUUGAUAUUGUUUUGAGCAUUCCGAAGGUUGGAACAAGUUUGAAUGAUGUUUUAGUAUUGGUUGGCAGGUUUGGUUGAGGUCCCGGAGGCCUCGGGUGUGUUUCGGAUGCUCAACGGGUCAUUUUGGAACUUGUGGAAUUUCAAAAGAAUCUGGUAUCUGGUUUCCUUCAUCGCGUUCGCGGCCUUCGCUUUGCUUUCGCAUAGUGUAUUUUGAGAGGGGGUCUAAUUUGUUCUUCGCAAUCGCGAAAGUCUGCCCCUUCUUCCUUCGCGCUCACAUUCCCCCUUCCGCAUCCGCGAACACGUAAGUCUACCCUUUCCUCUUUCGCGUUCGUGUAAAUCCUAUCGCAUUCGCGUUGGCCAGUUUAAGGACCCUUAAUUUUUCCUCUUCGCGAUCGCACACAAUUUCUCUCGAUUGCGAUGAACAAUACCUGGGCAGAUUCAUUAAAACCCCAAUUUGAGGGUUUAAGCCUAUUUUCACAUUUUUAAAUUUGGGAGCUUGGGAGGGGCAAUUUUUGAAGAGGUUUUCACAUGGGUAACUUGGGUAAGUGAUCUCUACCCAACUUAGAUCAAUUUCCAUGAUUCUUAACUUAAAUCUAGUCUUUAAAUUUCUAAUAUUGGUGGAAAAUUUGGAAAAAAAUGGAUAAACUUCAUUGGCCGAAUUAUUGAGUUUUGAUUGAGUCUUUGACAUUCGAUUUGAUAGAUUCUUAUAUGGUUAGACUCGUGAGUGAAUGAGUGUCCGGAAUAUACAGUUACUUGAAGUGUUAUUUACAUUAUGCAAAUGAAUUGAAUAGAUUUGGGCCAUUUGGAGUCGAGUACUCAUGGCAAUGACGCAGUGUCGGGUCGAUUUUGAGCUGGUUCGAGGUAUGUGGCUUGUCUAACCUUGUGUGGGGGACCUUCCCCUUAGGAUUGGUAUGUUUGGCAAUUGAAAUUCCUUGUACGUGAGGUGACGAGUGCGUACUUGUGCUAAUUGUUGGAAAUCCGGUUUUCUUUAAGUAAUUGCUAGUAUGUUUCCUUUCCUGUUUCUAUUACUUGCACUAUUAAGCCUGUUGUUAGUUUAGGAAAGCAUGUCUAAGUGAUUUAAUUGUUUUAUUUGAUUCAACCUGCCUUACUUGAAUUCUGUGCAGCAUGCUACGCAAGAAUCACUUAUUUCCAUAAUAUGAAAUUUUGCCAUUUCUAUAUAUCUUCUUGCUGUUGUUGCGUAUUUAUUUUGGGACUACGGAUGUGGGAUUCCGGUAGCUCCCCCUUGUCUGUUUACUUUGGGACUACGGGUUAGAUUCCUAGUAGAUCCCCCUACAUAUUUACUUUGGGACUACGGGUUAGAUUCCCGGUAGAUCCCCCUGCAUAGUUAUAUGGAUCUAUGGGAAUGCACCCCGUAGAUUCCCCCAGUACUGGGUAUUUACAUUUGGGACUACGGAAUGGGAUUCCGGUAGAUCCCCGCGCACUAUGAGUUGGACUACGGGACGAGAUCCCAGGAGCUCCACUGGAUAUGAACAUAUGGGACUGUAGGACGGUAUCCUGGGAGAUCCCUGAUUGUUAUUAUUGGUACUAAGCCGUAAUUCUUUUCCGUGUUUACAUUGUUUUCUAUAUAGUUGUUGUUGUCAUAUACAUCCUGUGUUAUUUUACUCUCAUACUUAUUUAUAUUGUUCUGUUCUAUACUGUUGAUCUUUAUAUUUUACUUGACCUCAGUAGGUCCCUAACCUUCCUCGUCACUACCCAACUGAGGUUAGGCUUGGCACUUACUGAGUACCAUUGUGGUGUACUCAUGCCCUCCUGUGUAUGUUUUUCAUGUGCAGAUCCAGGUACCGCUACUUAGGCCUACCAUCCUUGAGAGAGGCGACUGCUUAGAGACUUCAAGGUACAUCUUCCGCGUCCGCAGACCGAGAAGUCCCUUUCUAUUCAUGCUUUUAGUAUUUAG
This 9253-nucleotide long non-coding RNA is filed under the name Nicotiana tabacum (common tobacco). RNAcentral describes it as "long non-coding RNA (NTAB_LNC004279)". The record is from RNAcentral. Lineage: Eukaryota; Viridiplantae; Streptophyta; Magnoliopsida; Solanales; Solanaceae.